ACGCAGCCGUGUAGAAGGCAGAGAGAUUGAACUUUCCAUCCAGUAGGUUGCAGACGAGCUUGAGGGCGGUUAGGGGAUUGUGGGACCAGGCCAGAGGUAGCACUUGCUUCACAUAAUUACACGAGGCCUCCAUCUGGGCCCGGUCGUGAACGUCUUCUUCCCCGACGUUGUAAAAGAGAUCAAGGCAUGGGUUGUUGUUGUUGUUGACAAGCUGAUCAGGGUGUGUCUCUGCCUCUGGCUUCGACAUGGUUUUGAUUAGGGUUUUGGUUUUGUUUGCUUCUGUGCUGUUCUUGUUCUUCUUGUGUUGUCUUGUGUGUAUCUCUCUGUUAAUUUAUAUAGGAAUACGAAGUCUCCCUGUUAAUAUAGGAAUGAAUAGAAAUAAUAAUAAGAAAAGGAAUACGAAAUCUCCCUGUUAAUAUAGGAAUGAAUAGAAAUAAUAAUUUUCGACCAAAAAAAGAAAGAAUAUAAAUAAUAAUAAGAAUAGGAAGAAAUCUCCUUGUUAAUAUAGGAAUGAAUAGAAAUAAUAAGGAAAGUAUUAAGUAAGCCAGCCAUUACCCAUGCCUUGCAGGACUAAUUUCUCAAUAAUAUAUAUAGUUAAUAUAUAUUGAUGAUCUUUUAAUUUGGUUGGAUUUGAUUGGAGGAUUCGGAUCUUUUGCUUGUACGUUCUCUACUUUGAUCUCUUCCGAAUCACUGCAAGAAAAUUUGAAGGGAAAAACUACAAAAAAAUUUCUUUUCCACUUCGCAUUGGGCAAAAUAAUGUACAUGCUUUGUGUAAAAGUUAAAAUUUAGGAUAUAUCAAAAGAGUCACUUCUGGCAAAUGCCUAGUCUUAUUUUAAUUCUUCCUUUUAUUCUCAGAUGAACACAUUAUAAAACCACAAAGAAUUAAAUAUCUAAUUUCGCAUUGGGGUCCAUGUGGAUCCUCUAGUUCUCGUAAUAGAGCAUCCGGAAGGGCAGACUGUUAAUAGAAAGAUAGAACCGCAACAUAUCCUCAUUCAAUACAGUUUGAGUGUCACUAUCAACCACAUCGCCCAAACAAAACCCUAUUAGAGAAACACUUCACCCCACCAAAAAUUAGAAGAAGAACUCAUAACCUAAUUUCCAUGAAAAAAUUAAUAAAAUUUAUUGAUUAAAUAUAAAAAAAAUUGUAAUAAGACAUAAUUAGACACCAGAAGAAAUAUAAAGAAAGAGAAGAUGAAGACAGAAGAAGCAAGAACAAACAUAUUGGACAGAGUAUAAGAGAGAGAGGUGAGAGAUGGAUAUCUGGAGAAGAGUGAAGAUAUGAAAAGAGCGUAUGAUUUUUCAGGUAGAAAGGUUAUUUUUCUUUUUCCCUAGUCUCAUAAUUAAGCGUGUAUUAUCUAGACCAGGGUGUGUGAGUUGUAUUAGUUAGUUGGGUAAGGAGAGUAUUAAAAGCCCAAUCUGUUUAAAAUAGUCGGGUCAUUAAAUUAUACAAGUUGACACCAAACAGCUGACAUGUUCUAUUUACUCAUAUCCAAAGUCUAAUACGAGUGUACCAAAUGAACCCUUAACUGCCAAACUAUAAAAGCCUCUGUUAGUUUCUUUAAUUUCCUUUUAGUCUUUGCAAUUUUUGAUGUUAUACUGGUUCUCUAUUUCUUUCUAGUCUAUAGAUUCUUUCACCUUUUUUUUUCUUUUCUUUUUUCUUUUUUUGGCUUUGUUUGAUAUUUUGGUUGAACCAUUGGCAAGUGUUAUUGCUAACUAAGUGUUAUUGUUUUCUAGUUGAAUUCGAUAACAUGUGGUGAAAAUGUAGGUUUUUUAAUUUGUAUGUAGAUUUGUUUUUCAUAGCCAAUUUAGUCCUUGUAGCUUUUUCCCAAACUCUUUGUAGUCGUGAGGAAUCUGGAUCAUGUGGAUAACCUCUCCCUCUCACUCCCUGCCUCUUACCAUUUCCUUUUCCUCAAAACAAUCCAAGCCUAUGUUUGAAUACUCUAAAUUAGUAUAAGUGAGGUGUUAAUUUGCAUGUAUAAGUUUAUGUAAAUCUCUAUCUCGAACAAAGUACAGGUUGCUUGACAUCUAUGUAUUUGGAUAGAAUCCUUGGUAGAAAAAGUACAUCAAUGUGCUCAUAUGUCAUAGGAAAGAAAUAACUAAAUGUGUUGGCGCUUGGACUAGCAUAAUCUCAUAGUGGUUAUUUUAGUAUACUAACAAAUUUAAUGAUUUUUCCUGCUUCAUUUGAGCAUGCAGAUGCUUCCAUGACUUGUUUUUGUCAAGAGAUUGUGAUUCUCUUCUCUUCCCACAAAUUUAAUGUUCUCUUGGCAGAUUUCUCUCUCUAUUUGUUUUUGGUAAGUAUGUGAGUAUUUGUUAAUAGAAAGAAGAAUACAUAAAUCAAGGUGGUAUACUAAAUAUUUUUGAGACUCCUGCAUACACUUUUCAAUACCCAUCCUUUUUCUGUUUCUCUAACAAUCGAAUAUUUGAUGAAUUCGAUCUAAUUUUGAAUGGGUUUGUUUGGAGGUUUGGGUCAGAUUUUUGUAACAUUGAAUUUGCAAGACCUGGUCGUACGGUCCCUAAACAUGUUAGCUAAUCUUUGCACCCCUGGCUAGUCCGCUCACUUUAGUCUUUGGGUCAGAUUUUCUUGAAAUGGGCUGCUUUGAUAAAUUUAUGUAUAACGAAACUGAAAUCAGUUGCCUAAUUCCUCAUGUGUACAUCUACAUAGGAAGCCCUACUUGUUACUUCCUCGCUCAUGCUUUCCAUCCUAGGAUUGUCUCUACCCUCCAUGUAUGUGAGUUUUAAAUUUUCAUCAUUAUAUAUAUUACUAAACAUUAGAGAUUAUUUAAGGCAGAUAAUCAAUUAUCUGAAUUCUGCUUAGUCUUAGUUCCAUGUGCAUUAAUUAACUCUUUAAUCCAUACGCUUUCAUUUAAGCAGAUUGAUGUGAUUAGUGUGGCUCAUACAACAAAGGCAAUCUUAGGUUCAUCAAGCAAAGUCGAGCUUCAAAGUAGAUUUGCACGUGAAAUUGGUUCUUCUAUCGCUUCAGAAUCCCUUGCUGAAGAAGCAAAAUUUAUUAACCUGAACUUCUUGUCUAAUGUUCCAAAGUCUCAAUGUUCUUCAAACGAACUCCCAACUCCACUACUGGAAGAAGCAACAUGAGAGGAAUCAAUGUCUCUGGACAAAGGACUGGCAGAAAAGUAAGAUUCGUCAUAUUCUAUAUGUGAUCCGGCUGCAUCAGAAAAGUAAGAUUCCUCAUAUUUUAUAUUACUUCAAGCUUUUUAUUUAUGUAUGGGCUGAAGGUUGGUAAAAAUAAUAAAGUGAUUAGACAAAUACAAAAAUUAGGGCCUUGAUUAGGACCUAUUUUAAUUUAUAUACAUAUUAUCAUGCCUCAUUAGGGAAAAAAAAUUGGUUUUCAAUAUGAAUAAAACAGAGAGCAAGUACCUUGAACAACAAUUAAUGCACGAUGAGGGGCUAAUCCAAUUGUCAGAAAACCAAGUGGCAAAACCAUGCUACCAAUGGCAGCUUUCAAAUUGUAACUAAGACUUUGCCAUACUCUCAACCUGUUGUCAGGAUCCGCAACAGGUCCACCCAUGUAGUCAGCAACUAACAGAGAAAGUUUGAGCACCAGAUUGCUGUUUACAAAAACCAGAGGAUCUGAACUUGACUUUACAGCCAUUUCUAGGGCCAUCUGUUCAAGUUUCAACAAGUUCGCAUCAGCAGCUCUGUUGACUAAAACUGCUUCCCAGGUGUUCCUUGCAGAACAACAAGAGAAGGCAUUCUCUCUGAGGUUGACGUACUCAGUCAAAAUCCCAUACAGAUCAUAGAAACCACCCAAGAUAUUGUCAUCAUAGCUAAGAGCAUUGUAAUUCUGUGAAGAAUGGAUAAAUCUACGAUAUGAGACAGGUUAGAAAGGAAUAAAAUAUUACAAAACUGAAGAAACAAAAUUAAAUUUAAGAACACUGCUAUACAUCAUUGCUCCCAUAUGUUUAAGAUGUUAUGUUUUAGAAUAUCGUGGAAAUAUUCACACACAGAAAAUUCUUCCGAUUUGCCCCAUCGAUUCUGUCACAUGUGGCCUAGGUGGGGAAUUAUGAUUUCACCAUGCUUUAUGGUUUAUGAGUUAAAUGAAAUUAAUCACAGUCACAGAUGACAAUUUCUAAAAGCAUGCUUUAUGAUUCACCAUGCAUCUAUAAGAAGACACCUUAACUAAAGGUAAAUAAGCCCCAACAAUAACAAAUAACAUAGAUUAGGCUAAAUCUUCGUCUAAUAUGUCAAUACAGCCAACUGAAACCAUUUUAUGUUCAGCCUGAACAACUAAGCAGGCAUACUAAUUAGUUUAUUAGGAACUAUGUAUGGAUGGACCAACGGAAAAUAUACUCACGUCUGCCAUCAUUAGACCUUUCAGCUAAGGACGUUACGAGAUUGGUUUGUCAAAUUGGAAGCCAUAGCACUCCAAAAUCCAGCCCUUUUCAUUAAUGUGAUCUCAUCGGCCUAAAUAAAUAAACAUCCAUCAAAACUGAGAUAUACAUAAGCAAAUGACCUUUUCAAACUCCACAUAGGUUUCUCCAGGUGCCCAAUGGGCAUCAAAGUGGAUAACGAGGAAAUUGCUGCUUGCUGUUCAAAUGAAUUAGAGCUGGAAAACCACAUUGGUCCCAGUAGGGUCUGCACAUGAUAACCACUAAGGGUUUAGUCACAAAAUUCAAUGCAAAAACACUACUUCAAGAUGCCUUGAUUUAAUAGAAUACCUAUCUAAACUUAUCAAUGCAAACACAACCUCAACUAGCCCAUUACUAGUUUGUGUAGGUGCGGUAUGUGACUUUUGGGGUUGAUAGCUUGGUCCGAAACCGAAAGGAAGAAUCCGACCUUUGGGAAUAAAGGAUGUCAGGCAAUGGACUACUUGCUGGACCUAAAUAUCUCUCUGUAAGACAAUUAUACAGGCUUUGUUUCCAUCAGGACCAUGUUAAAAUCCCAAACUAGUUCCUCUUGACUGACAACUGUUAUAAUGGUUGGCAACCUCGCAUCAAUCCCUUUAAAGAUAAAAAAUACUUCUUUAGCAGUCUACUGAUCCCUCUACGCCUCUAUACGGAUGGUAUUACCAUGUAAGUAACAACAAAACACAUUAGAUUUUAGCAAAUAGUUUAAGUUCAUGCAUCUGUAGCUUAUAUUUUUAACAUUACAAAAAUAAUGAUUUAUUAACAAAUCUUUCAAUCUUGGCGAACUAACUCAAGAUAAUUAAGGUAAGAGCAGCACUAAUUAAAAAGAAAAGAUAAUUAAUAAUAAGCCAAUUACAAUAAAUCUCAGUCCACUAUAGUGAAAGCUUGAUAACGUUCAUCGGAUAUGGCUAAUUCCAUGAGAUGGUCGGGGCCAAUUUCGCCUUCAUUGUCGAGGAAGAGCUUGAGCAGAUUGUUAGAGAAGCCAUUGAGAAUGGACAACCCCGGUUGUGUACGAGGCGCCACCGGCUUCUCCGGGUUGUACUCUGACAAAGUCCAAAACACCACGUGUGGCACAACAUCCCCGUACCCUUUCUCCUUAUACUUGCUCUGUAUUGCCUGGUAAUCAAUCUCCCAAGAAGUUUCGGCCGCAUUGGCACUGUCAAAGUCCCGGUGACUCAACACCAACACCUUCUUGAUCAUCUGAUCCGGCUUCAAGUUCUCAUUCACAGCCACUUGGAGAAUCAAAUCAAACAGCUUCUCAAAAUCAAGGUCGACACUGCAGUUCAUCCUCCUCACAAACUCGUACUUGUACCUAAGAUCGUCGCCGCCUUGUAUGGAAUGUAGCUGAGGCUCAUCACUGAAUUGGAUCACCUUUCCUUUCCAUGGCUCUUCACUCAGUUCAGACAGCAAGAGUCCCAAAGCAAUGGAGACCUCCAAGGAGACCUCGUCGUCCAUGAAUUUGAGGUGGACAUCACAUACAGCCAACCAGUUUUUGAACUUGCCCUGCUUUGAGUAGACGUCCUCCACCAUUGACUUCCACUGGAGCUCAGCAGCGCGGCCUAAAUUCCAAUGGUGCACGUAGCCUGUGAUCUCAUGCGGAAGCAGAGCAUCCGCCAACAAGGACGAGGAGGACGAAAUCUUGCCAGCACUGCCACUGCAGCAGCAGCUGGCUUUCACCUUCUCCAAAUAGGUCUCAACAGCACUGGCCUCGUCUGGCGGAUAAUCCUGGGCAAAGUAGGCCUUCUUCAAGGAGGGCAAAACCUCAUCCUUGAGCCGCUUGACCAUGACUCUGUCGGCAUCUUUGGCCUUGGCCCGUUUUCCUUUACCAUGACCUCCACCUAAUUCUAAUUUGUGAUAUUCUUCUGGCGGGAAAAACUUCCUGGCAAUGUUUUCAAGCAGCAAAGUGAUGCUGUAGUCGGGGUUGUAAUCCGCGAAUGUUGACACGGCAGAAUGUAUAUCGCAUGCGGCCAUGGUUAUUCUGUCGUCAUUAUCAGAUUCAGAUAAUUGCUUCAAUUUGUUGUUUUUGUUCUGCUCCUCCGCCGCCUCCUUGAAUUUCAAUUUCUCCAUAUCAGACUUGAACAUCUCGGCCAAAAUAUCCGAAACCUGGUCGUGCAACAAUUGAUAAUCGCGGUCAUGCUUGUACCGCUUAACAGCCUUGUGCAACAAUUGAUAACGGUUGUAGCCCCGACGGCGAGUAGUCUUGUAAAUGUCUUGGCCUUCUCGAAGGAUGUGGUACACAAUGUUCAUUGAGUUGGAAAAAGCCUCGAAGGACCGGACAAUAGACGCCAGGUUGCACAAUAGUGUCUUGGGGUGGUUGUGGUGGAGCCAAAACGCAGCCGUGUAGAAGGCAGAGAGAUUGAACUUUCCAUCCAGUAGGUUGCAGACGAGCUUGAGGGCGGUUAUGGGAUUGUGGGACCAGGCCAGAGGUAGCACUUGCUUCACAUAAUUACACGAGGCCUCCAUCUGGGCCGGGUCGUGAACGUCUUCUUCCCCGACGUUGUAAAAGAGAUCAAGGCAUGGGUUGUUGUUGUUGUUGACAAGCUGAUCAGGGUGUGUCUCUGCC
RNAcentral lists this long non-coding RNA (6927 nucleotides) under Prunus persica (peach). Its description in RNAcentral is "long non-coding RNA (PPER_LNC005497)". The record is from RNAcentral. Lineage: Eukaryota; Viridiplantae; Streptophyta; Magnoliopsida; Rosales; Rosaceae.